CGGAUCGGAGUCUGNAACCCGACUCCGUGAAGCUGGACUCGCUAGUAAUCGCGCAUCAGCCAUGGCGCGGUGAAUACGUUCCCGGGCCUUGUACACACCGCCCGUCAAGCCAUAGGAGCCGGGGGGUGCCUGAAGUUCGUGACCGCAAGGAGCGACCUAGGGCAAAACUGGUGACUGGGGCUAAGUCGUAACAAGGUAAC
RNAcentral lists this ribosomal RNA (200 nucleotides) under uncultured bacterium. RNAcentral describes it as "partial 16S ribosomal RNA". It matches the Rfam family "Bacterial small subunit ribosomal RNA", at positions 1294 to 1500 of the family's 1533-position model. The record is from RNAcentral.